GAUGAACGCUAGCUACAGGCUUAACACAUGCAAGUCGCGGGGCAGCAUGGGGGUUGCUUGCAAUCCCCGAUGGCGACCGGCGCACGGGUGAGUAACGCGUAUCCAACCUGCCCUUCACCACGGGAUAACCCGGCGAAAGUCGGACUAAUACCGUAUGUUGUCCAUUGACGGCAUCCGAUUUGGACGAAAGGCUUGGCGGUGAGGGAUGGGGAUGCGUCCGAUUAGCCAGACGGCGGGGUAACGGCCCACCGUGGCUACGAUCGGUAGGGGUUCUGAGAGGAAGGUCCUCCACACUGGAACUGAGACACGGUCCAGACUCCUACGGGAGGCAGCAGUGAGGAAUAUUGGUCAAUGGGCGUAAGCCUGAACCAGCCAAGUAGCGUGCAGGAUGACGGCCCUAUGGGUUGUAAACUGCUUUUAUGCGGGGAUAAAAUGGCCCACGUGUGGGCUUUUGCAGGUACCGCAUGAAUAAGGACCGGCUAAUUCCGUG
RNAcentral lists this ribosomal RNA (490 nucleotides) under uncultured bacterium. RNAcentral's name for it is "partial 16S ribosomal RNA". It matches the Rfam family "Bacterial small subunit ribosomal RNA", at positions 28 to 507 of the family's 1533-position model. The record is from RNAcentral.